GUGAGGAAUAUUGGUCAAUGGGCGCAAGCCUGAACCAGCCAUGCCGCGUGCAGGAAGACGGUCCUAUGGAUUGUAAACUGCUUUUAUUUGGGAAUAAACUCCGGUACGUGUACCGGCCUGAAGGUACCAAAUGAAUAAGCACCGGCUAACUCCGUGCCAGCAGCCGCGGUAAUACGGAGGUUGCAAGCGUUAUCCGGAAUCAUUGGGUUUAAAGGGUCCGCAGGCGGUCUUAUAAGUCAGUGGUGAAAGCCUACAGCUCAACUGUAGAACUGCCAUUGAUACUGUAGGACUUGAAUUCGAUCGAAGUGGGCGGAAUGUGACAUGUAGCGGUGAAAUGCUUAGAUAUGUCACAGAACACCGAUAGCGAAGGCAGCUCACUAGGUCUGGAUUGACGCUCAGGGACGAAAGCGUGGGGAGCAAACAGGAUUAGAUACCCGGGUAGUCC
RNAcentral lists this ribosomal RNA (445 nucleotides) under uncultured bacterium. RNAcentral's name for it is "partial 16S ribosomal RNA". It matches the Rfam family "Bacterial small subunit ribosomal RNA", at positions 354 to 796 of the family's 1533-position model. The record is from RNAcentral.